RNAcentral lists this ribosomal RNA (465 nucleotides) under Vreelandella stevensii. RNAcentral describes it as "partial 16S ribosomal RNA". It matches the Rfam family "Bacterial small subunit ribosomal RNA", at positions 338 to 795 of the family's 1533-position model. The record is from RNAcentral. Lineage: Bacteria; Pseudomonadati; Pseudomonadota; Gammaproteobacteria; Oceanospirillales; Halomonadaceae.
CCUACGGGGGGCUGCAGUGGGGAAUAUUGGACAAUGGGGGGAACCCUGAUCCAGCCAUGCCGCGUGUGUGAAGAAGGCCCUCGGGUUGUAAAGCACUUUCAGUGAGGAAGAACGCCUGGUGGUUAAUACCCAUCAGGAAAGACAUCACUCACAGAAGAAGCACCGGCUAACUCCGUGCCAGCAGCCGCGGUAAUACGGAGGGUGCGAGCGUUAAUCGGAAUUACUGGGCGUAAAGCGCGCGUAGGUGGCUUGAUAAGCCGGUUGUGAAAGCCCCGGGCUCAACCUGGGAACGGCAUCCGGAACUGUCAAGCUAGAGUGCAGGAGAGGAAGGUAGAAUUCCCGGUGUAGCGGUGAAAUGCGUAGAGAUCGGGAGGAAUACCGGUGGCGAAGGCGGCCUUCUGGACUGACACUGACACUGAGGUGCGAAAGCGUGGGUAGCAAACAGGAUUAGAUACCCCUGUAGUC